Molecule: ribosomal RNA, 253 nt
Filed under: uncultured bacterium
Lineage: Bacteria
Description: partial 16S ribosomal RNA
Rfam family: Bacterial small subunit ribosomal RNA
Source: RNAcentral
UACAGAGACUGCAAGCGUUAUUCGGAUUCACUGGGCGUAAAGGGUGCGCAGGCGGCCGUGUGUGUCAGGUGUGAAAGCCCGGGGCUUAACCCCGGAAUUGCGCCUGAAACUACAUGGCUAGAGCAUUGGAGAGGGUAGCGGAAUUCACGGUGUAGCAGUGAAAUGCGUAGAUAUCGUGAGGAACACCGGUGGCGAAGGCGGCAUCCUGGACCAAUACUGACGCUGAGACGCGAAAGCGUGGGGAGCAAACAGG